This 116-nucleotide small RNA is filed under the name Marmota monax (woodchuck). The record is from RNAcentral. Lineage: Eukaryota; Metazoa; Chordata; Mammalia; Rodentia; Sciuridae.
UCCAGGAAUAGUGGUGCACUCCUGUAGUCCCAGCACUUGGGAGGCUGAGGCAGAAGGAUUGCUUGAGCCUAGGAUUUCAAGGCCAACCUGGACAACAUAAUUAGACCUUGUCUCAA